RNAcentral lists this ribosomal RNA (433 nucleotides) under uncultured bacterium. RNAcentral describes it as "partial 16S ribosomal RNA". It matches the Rfam family "Bacterial small subunit ribosomal RNA", at positions 29 to 507 of the family's 1533-position model. The record is from RNAcentral.
AACGAACGCUGGCGGCAUGCCUAACACAUGCAAGUCGAACGAGACCUUCGGGUCUAGUGGCGCACGGGUGCGUAACGCGUGGGAAUCUACCCUCAGGCUCGGAAUAACUCAGAGAAAUUUGAGCUAAUACCGGAUGAUGACGUAAGUCCAAAGAUUUAUCGCCUGAGGAUGAGCCCGCUUAGGAUUAGGUAGUUGGUGAGGUAAAGGCUCACCAAGCCGACGAUCCUUAGCUGGUCUGAGAGGAUGAUCAGCCACACUGGGACUGAGACACGGCCCAGACUCCUACGGGAGGCAGCAGUGGGGAAUAUUGGACAAUGGGCGAAAGCCUGAUCCAGCAAUGCCGCGUGAGUGAUGAAGGCCUUAGGGUUGUAAAGCUCUUUUACCCGGGAUGAUAAUGACAGUACCGGGAGAAUAAGCGCCGGCUAACUCCGUG